GGAUUUUCUCGCUGCCACCCCCGAUUCUCCCUCGGCUCUCCCGGCCGAUUCGGUGCUGCUCGGCGACCACGUGACGCGGGCUGCCUUUGACCCCGGUCUCGGAGCGGGUGCCCAGGUUACACCUUUGGAAGGAGUGUAGUCAAACAGGACCAGACCCGAAGACAGGGCCACAGCCCACAACUGCCGGCCACGUGUGGACAGGAUGUGACUUCCAAGUACAUACUACAGCCGCCACCAGUUGGACCGGGGAAAACAGCCUAGACCAGCAAAUUCUUGGCAAUCUGAGUUUCCACACUGGGCAGUGUAAAGUCCUUGAGAAAUGGGCUGAGGCUUGAGCAGGUCAAGCCCCCGGUCGGCAGUUUAGAAGGUCCAUUCCGUCAGCCCUGUGAACAGGAUCUGUAUUCUAGACACCGUGGGAGGGGCGGAGUUGAAAAGGACAGGCGUUCAUGCUCAAGCUAUGAGCCGAGGAUGUUGCCCAAUUGGUGGAGGGCUUGCCGAGCAUGCAGGAUGCCCUGGGUUCAAUCCCCUGCACUGCAUAGAUGUGCAUGCCUAUAAUUCCACAGCACAGCGCUCAGAAGGCAGUAGGAACAAGGUGUUUAAAGAGUUCAAGUGGGCAUGAGUUCCCCCCCCCCAUCCCUUUAUUCUGGCCAAAGUGAGCCAGGAGAGAGGUAAGGGGGCAAGAUGGCUCUCAAGAUUGAAGGAGCAAGGGAAGGAGGGCUUCCAGGGUGUCAGCCGGUAAGCUGGAUCAGAUGAACAGUUAGGGUGGGUUUGGGAAAGGAAGAUGGACGGACUUUCUGGCACAAGGAACAAUCCACCAGGACCAUGUGGAAGUGGUUCUGGAAAAGCUGCAUGGAGCAUGGCAGAGGAAGCAGGAAGGAAAGGCUGAGUCAGAAAAGACUGAAGGGUGUCGGGCGCUGAGGCUAGCCUCCAGAGCAGCUGAAUCCCAGCCUGGACCGAACCUAAUCCUGAGGGGCCUCCUGGAGAGAGAAGUCUUCUCGUGGGUAAAGAGAUGGCAGGGAGCCAGUCAGGUCAAGGGCAUGUCCAACGCAGCAGACUCAGAGGGUCAGCCUGGGAGUUAGGUAACCAACCCCAUGUCUAUGACAGCAUUUCCUACCUCGGAGUCUUCAAAACCGGCUUCAUAAGCUGGGCCUUCCGGCUUGUGAGGGUCUAUGUGGCGGGCAGGGAAGCCCAGCCAGGGCGGAGAUGGGCCGGAGGACCUAUGUUCUACCCCUCCUCCCUCCCCUCAUGACCACUCCCCAGGCCCCUUCUUAGGGCCCAGUGACCUCUUGAGACCAUCGUGAGACUUCCUUGCUACCCCAUCAUCUCAUCUGCUCCGUCUUAGCAAGGCAGAGGCUGAGCUCAUCACUCCCCAUCUUCCUCAAGCCCACAUGGUCCAGUCUCUCUGUCCCAUAUGUCAUCCAUGAGCCCUCCCAUUGCUCCUGCCUCCAAGCUGUUUUCUUUCUCUCUCAACUCCUUUUCUCCUUCAUCAGUGCCGAUGCGUAGCUUCUCAGCUUGCCUUUUUUGGGGUGGGGGGUGUUUUGAGACAGGGUCUCUCUGUGUAACAGCACUAGCUACCCUGGAACUCACCAGGCUGGCCUUGAACUCACAGAGAUCCACCCUCCUCUGCCUCCCAGGUGCUGAGAUUACCACCACCACCACCACCACCACCACCACCACCACCACCACUACCACCACCACCCAGCCUCUCUCAUCUUUUAAUGAAACUUCAUCAUGCCCAUUUCCUGUUGAAAGUUACCAGCAACUUGGUUUCCCACCCUCCUAGGAGAAGUGUCUUGCCUGGGUGUCUGUCUGUUACCUACUUUUCCUCAGUGGACAGAUCUUCACCUUCCACUUUGCCUGUCCAUUUAUUUAUUUUCAGACUGAGUCUCACGAUGGAGCCCUGGCUGGCCUGGAAUGUGCUCUGUAGACCAGGCUGGCCUACGUCUCCAGAAUGCUGGGAUCAAAGGCCUGAGCCGUAAAGCCUAGCCCCAGGCUGCUGAUUUUUGUUAAAGGAAUGUACCAAAGCCUGUCUUUCUGGGCUCUGCCGUAUCUAAACUAUGUGGCCAUGGUCAUCAUCUUCUCAACCUGUCUGUGCUCUUAUCUCUGCGGUGUGGGCAAUAAUUGUGUGUGCUUCUGAGCGCUCCGUGGGAAUUAAAUAUGUAAAGCCCUUCCUUCAUGUGGGAGCUCAA
Molecule: long non-coding RNA, 2189 nt
Organism: Peromyscus californicus insignis
Lineage: Eukaryota; Metazoa; Chordata; Mammalia; Rodentia; Cricetidae
Exons: 2
Source: RefSeq, a predicted model, not a curated record